Molecule: transfer RNA, 71 nt
Filed under: Podarcis lilfordi (Lilford's wall lizard)
Lineage: Eukaryota; Metazoa; Chordata; Lepidosauria; Squamata; Lacertidae
Description: tRNA.Ala
Rfam family: tRNA (bases 5-64)
About the family: Transfer RNA (tRNA) molecules are approximately 80 nucleotides in length.
Source: RNAcentral
GGUCGUAGCUCAGUGGUAGAGCAUCUGCCUUGCAAGCAGAAGGUCCCAGGAUCAAUCUCCAGGCAGAACUG